This 238-nucleotide unclassified non-coding RNA is filed under the name Hevea brasiliensis (rubber tree). The record is from RNAcentral. Lineage: Eukaryota; Viridiplantae; Streptophyta; Magnoliopsida; Malpighiales; Euphorbiaceae.
CGUUAUUAUUAUUACGCUUGAAAGAAUGAGCCCGGCGAGUCAUGGGGCCCGAGAAACGAGGGCUGUUAACUCUCUGAGAAACACCAUCACUAGAGUCAUGGCUGUGGUGGCGAGAGUGGUGACCCAUGAAAAUGAAGAAAAAGUUAUCAAGAAAAUAAGUAACGACAGCAGUGAUUCACUGAUAUGCCUUAUCGUGAAUAAUAACCGCGAUAUCGAAUAGAUUUUAAUAAGAUCGCCA